AUUGAACGCUGGCGGCAGGCUUAACACAUGCAAGUCGAGCGGGGGAAGGUAGCUUGCUACCGGACCUAGCGGCGGACGGGUGAGUAAUGCUUAGGAAUCUGCCUAUUAGUGGGGGACAACAUCUCGAAAGGGAUGCUAAUACCGCAUACGUCCUACGGGAGAAAGCAGGGGAUCUUCGGACCUUGCGCUAAUAGAUGAGCCUAAGUCGGAUUAGCUAGUUGGUGGGGUAAAGGCCUACCAAGGCGACGAUCUGUAGCGGGUCGGAGAGGAUGAUCCGCCACAGUGGGACUAGGACCAGGCCCAGACUCCUACGGGAGGCAGCAGUGGGGAAUAUUGGACAAUGGGGGGAACCCUGAUCCAGCCAUGCCGCGUGUGUGAAGAAGGCCUUAUGGUUGUAAAGCACUUUAAGCGAGGAGGAGGCUACUCUAGUUAAUACCUAGGGAUAGUGGACGUUACUCGCAGAAUAAGCACCGGCUAACUCUGUGCCAGCCGCCGCAGUAA
This 501-nucleotide ribosomal RNA is filed under the name uncultured bacterium. Its description in RNAcentral is "partial 16S ribosomal RNA". It matches the Rfam family "Bacterial small subunit ribosomal RNA", at positions 30 to 523 of the family's 1533-position model. The record is from RNAcentral.